GACGAACGCUGGCGGCGUGCUUAACACAUGCAAGUCGAACGGUGAAGCGAGUGCUUGCACUCGUGGAUCAGUGGCGAACGGGUGAGUAACACGUGAGUAACCUGCCCAUCACUCUGGGAUAAGCACUGGAAACGGUGUCUAAUACUGGAUACGACCAACCCUUGCAUGGGGUGUUGGUGACAUGAUUUAUCGGUGAUGGAUGGACUCGCGGCCUAUCAGCUUGUUGGCGGGGUAAUGGCCCACCAAGGCGACGACGGUUAGCCGGCCUGAGAGGUGGACCGGCCACAAUGGGACUGAGAGACGGCCCAGACUCCUACGGGGGGCAGAAGUGGGGAAUAUUGCACAAUGGGCGAAAGCCUGAUGCAGCGACGCCGCGUGAGGGAUGACGGCCUUCGGGUUGUAAACCUCUUUAAGCAGAGAAGAAGCGAAAGUGACGGUACCUGCAGAAGAAGCACCGGCUAACUACGUG
This 469-nucleotide ribosomal RNA is filed under the name uncultured bacterium. RNAcentral's name for it is "partial 16S ribosomal RNA". It matches the Rfam family "Bacterial small subunit ribosomal RNA", at positions 28 to 507 of the family's 1533-position model. The record is from RNAcentral.